AGUUUGAUCCUGGCUCAGGAUGAACGCUAGCUACAGGCUUAACACAUGCAAGUCGAGGGGCAUCAUGGAGUUUGCUUGCAAACUCUGAUGGCGACCGGCGCACGGGUGAGUAACGCGUAUCCAACCUUCCCUAUAGUAGAGGAUAGCCCGGCGAAAGUCGGAUUGAUACUCUAUGUUUUCCGUUGCAGACAUCUAAGAUGGAACAAAGGUUCACCGCUAUGGGAUGGGGAUGCGUCUGAUUAGGUAGUCGGCGGGGUAACGGCCCACCGAGCCAUCGAUCAGUAGGGGUUCUGAGAGGAAGGUCCCCCACAUUGGAACUGAGACACGGUCCAAACUCCUACGGGAGGCAGCAGUGAGGAAUAUUGGUCAAUGGGCGAGAGCCUGAACCAGCCAAGUAGCGUGCAGGAUGACGGCCCUAUGGGUUGUAAACUGCUUUUAUACAGGGAUAAAGUCGGGGACGCGUUCCCCGUUUGCAGGUACUGUAUGAAUAAGGACCGGCUAAUUCCGUGCCAGCAGCCGCGGUAAU
This 526-nucleotide ribosomal RNA is filed under the name uncultured bacterium. RNAcentral's name for it is "bacterial SSU rRNA". It matches the Rfam family "Bacterial small subunit ribosomal RNA", at positions 10 to 524 of the family's 1533-position model. The record is from RNAcentral.